CAACCUGAACUCAGUCGUGAUUACCCGCUGAACUUAAGCAUAUCAUUUAGCGGAGGAAAAGAAACUAAAAAGGAUUCCCCUAGUAACGGCGAGUGAAACGGGAAGAGCCCAGCGCCGAAUCGAUCAGUCUUUGGCUGCUUCGAAAUGUGGCGUAUAGGUGUAGUCUUCCAGCAGUGUCGUAUGUCCGAAGUCCUUGCGAUUGAGGCCAUAAACCAGAGAGGGUGCGAGCCCCGUUCUGGAUAGCGGCGCUGUUGGUUCGACUGCUCCUUGGAGUCGGGUUGCUUGAAAGUGCAGCCUAAAGUGGGUGAUAAACUUCAUCUAAGGCUAAAUAUUGACUCGAUUGCGAUAGCGAACAAGUACCGUGAGGGAAAGUUGCAAAGGACUUUGAAGAGAGAGUUCAAGAGAACGUGAAAUCGCUGGAGUGGAACCGGAGACAGUUGAUGUUGCUUGGAGACAAUCUUGGUGGCUGAUCGCUUAGCUGUGAUCGCCGCCGGGAGUCGUUUCCUAUGCUACGCCGACGGCGUUGGCCGCUCGUUCUGGCCCGACAGUGUUGCCCAUCUCGCAAGAGACGGUGUCUUGUUGUCGGUCGUUGGUUCGUGGUGGCUAGCGUUUAGUUACGCUAGUGUGUGUGACGUC
This is a non-coding RNA of Caenorhabditis japonica, 636 nucleotides long. Lineage: Eukaryota; Metazoa; Nematoda; Chromadorea; Rhabditida; Rhabditidae. The record is from Rfam.